UACGGGGGGGGCAAGCGUUGUUCGGAAUUACUGGGCGUAGAGGGCUCGUAGGCGGCCAACUAAGUCAAACGUGAAAUCCCUCGGCUUAACCGGGGAACUGCGUCUGAUACUGGAUGGCUUGAGUUUGGGAGAGGGAUGCGGAAUUCCAGGUGUAGCGGUGAAAUGCGUAGAUAUCUGGAGGAACACCGGUGGCGAAGGCGGCAUCCUGGACCAACACUGACGCUGAGGAGCGAAAGCCAGGGGAGCAAACGGG
Molecule: ribosomal RNA, 253 nt
Filed under: uncultured bacterium
Lineage: Bacteria
Description: partial 16S ribosomal RNA
Rfam family: Bacterial small subunit ribosomal RNA
Source: RNAcentral